UGGUCGGCAGUGAUCAGAAGGUCCAGGAUAGU
This 32-nucleotide non-coding RNA is filed under the name Mus musculus (house mouse). The record is from RNAcentral. Lineage: Eukaryota; Metazoa; Chordata; Mammalia; Rodentia; Muridae.